This 299-nucleotide long non-coding RNA is filed under the name Elaeis guineensis (African oil palm). RNAcentral's name for it is "long non-coding RNA (EGUI_LNC060154)". Lineage: Eukaryota; Viridiplantae; Streptophyta; Magnoliopsida; Arecales; Arecaceae. The record is from RNAcentral.
UGACCUAUGGAUAGGAGUUAUGUGUUCUGGUUCUUCCUUAUUUAUGUGAAUAUUUGGUUGAGAAAUAUCUAUUUAUUUUUUUUGAAUUUCAUUAAUUUCAAUAUUUCUCCCACUGCCUCUUUCUAGGAUAAAUUCUUUCUCCAUGAAAGUGGCAUGCCUACUUACAAAUAUCUUUUGUUCAGUAGGGUGGUAGAAUAGAUAUCCUAUACUAUCCUUAGGAUAUCCUGCAAACAAACAUUUAUCUGCUCUAGCAUCUAGCUUAUGUCCAAAAUUUUUUUUGACAUAUGCUGAACAUCCCC